This 84-nucleotide transfer RNA is filed under the name Colletotrichum tofieldiae. It matches the Rfam family "tRNA". Rfam says of the family: Transfer RNA (tRNA) molecules are approximately 80 nucleotides in length. Lineage: Eukaryota; Fungi; Ascomycota; Sordariomycetes; Glomerellales; Glomerellaceae. The record is from Rfam by way of RNAcentral.
GGAUCGAUAGCUCAGUGGUAGAGCGAGAGAUUGCAGUUUACCGCAGUUAUCUCUAGGCCCCGCGUUCGAACCGCGGUCGGUCCU